UCCUUCUCUUCUUCUUCCUUCCAUUUUGUAACCCUCUGUAUUACUUCCACUUCUAGCUAGGGUUAAAAAAAACCCAAAACAACAGUUCUGUAUCUCACUUUAUCUCUGAGAUACGUUUCACACAGUCCCAUCUUUGCAUAAAACGACAAUUCCUAUUCAAGAAAAACACAAUUUAACAGUUAGAACUCAUAAUUCGUUAGUACAAGUUGGAUUAUCCGAAUCAAAAGGUCUAAUCCAUAUUCGUUCGGAUCCGUCUCCAUCUGAAAUUAAAUAGGUAUUUCGUAGAGAAUUAAUAGUAUUGCAUUUUCUAUUACUUAUUGCCAUAUUGAAGUAAAUGCCCUAAGUAAACUUCUCACUUAUGACUUAUAUAAGUUAAUAAGUCAUUUUUGAGAAGGAAUCCCAAACACCCACAAAAAUACUUUUAUAGACAUAAAUUUUUUUAACAUAACCCAUAACCCGUGAAGUGCCUAUAAUUUUUUUAACAUAAUCCAUAACCCGUGAAGGUCAUGGGUAUAUAAACUGUUGGGUGUGCUUUGAGGUUGAAACAUUAAGCGUGGGAGGGUAUAAAUAGGAGACAUUAAGCGUCACGUAGCAGUCACGUUAGCAAGGCGGCGCGGUAAGAAAAACACGUGGUAGAAAGGACGUUAAAGUGGUGUUUUAAAAAAAAAUCAAAAACCAAUAAAAUGUUAGUAUGAAGAGGUUAUCCAAUUAGUUUGAUUAUGAUUCAAAUAUAUUGAAAACUCUAAUAAUGAAGCAUAAAUAACACCAAGACACAUUUGUUCCUCCACAUGUAUGGUUUGGUCAUUGUGAACAAGAGAAGGAUUCCACAUAGAAAGUGGUUCAAACAUGCUUUUUUUCGUAUGGGUCAAAACAGAAAAGAGUUGAUGUGCACACUUUUAGUUUUGUCGGUUACAGUAUUUUUUUUAUUCUAUUUUCUGUUGUGUGUUUGAUGAGUUGUGUUUGUAUGGUUAAUCAUCGCCUGGUUACAAUGGUGACACUUUUCGUUGGAGAUGAUUGGAACAAAUGGCGUCAACGUUAAGAUGGUUCGGGUGUGGAAGAUCUGGUUACUUCUGUGGCGGUAACAAUUAGCAAGGGUGAUUCAACUCAUUCAGUCGGCGCUAUGGUUACUUCUGUCGUUUUCAUCUAAGAUAAAAAGCAGGUUAUAAAUGACAGGUUCGGUAUUUUUUAGGAUCUUACGACCACCCCCAUGAUUGUGUUGUUGUUCGUAGUUGGGAAAGAAAACGAACUAGGGUGAUCGGUCCAUGUGAAAAAGGAGGGCUAGGGCUUGGGUCUCUUUGGGACAUGAAUAUUAGUUUGCUAGCAAAAUGGUGGUGGCGUUUUUAAGAAUGAAGAUAAGGCUUUAUGGAAACAAGUAAUAGAAGCGGUACACUCACAACCGAGAUCGUGGUCAUAUGUGCCAGUCAAAGCUGGAAUUUAUGGAGUAUUGGAGUUUGGAAUGUAAUUAUCAAGAUGGAGAAGGAUUUAAGUAAUCUUAAUAUCCAGAUAAGUCAUCUAAAAAAGGGGCUCUUGGGGACGGGUCAACUAUCUGAUUCUGAUAGAUAAAUGGAUAGACAGCAACCAUUAAAGGAGGAUUUUUCCAGCUUUAUUUCUCUUGGAAAUUGAAAAAAAAAUACAACUAUAGCGAGGCGAAUUUCUGUCUUGGGAUGACUGGGAGAGUGGAUGAGACCUACAAGAGAAUAGGAAAUUAGGGAGAUGGAGCACCUGAAUGUUUUAUUAAUGAACAUUGCGGUCACUGAUGGUAGGGAUAGAUGGGUGUGGGAACUGGACGGAUCAGGUUAGUUUACAGUGGGCUCGUGUAGGAGAUUAAUGACAGAGUAUGCAAUACCGUAUUUUCCUUUUCAAAGAGUAAAAUGCGUUCCAAAAAAGAUAAAAUAUAUUUGGGUGGCGUGUAGAACAAGAGCAUUUACCUACUUUGGUUGGUCUACAUAAAAGAAGAAUCCAUAGCGGCUCCACGUUGUGCAGGUUUUGUAAUGGCGGAGAUGAAAUGCAACACACGUAUUCACAUCCUGCUACGUUGCGGCUGUCGUGUGGAACAAAAUUAGUGAGCGGUGUAAUAUACCGCCGGUCUUCGCCUUCUCUUUCAAAGAUCUACUAAGUGUCUGCAAGGUUCCAGGCUACACUCGAAUGAAGAAAAAGGCGGUACAAGUUGUGGUGCUGACAGUAUGCUUCAUAAUAUUGAAGUGUCAGAAUGAUCUCAUACUUUCGAGCAAGCGGGUUCACAUUGAAAGGCUGUUAGGUGAAGUACAAUCCACCUCCUUGUGGAUAAAACACCAGGCGGAACAGCAGCAUAUGUAGUGGGAAAAAUGGGUGACUUUUGAUUUCUAAAUUAUAGUUUGGGACCCGGGCUUAUACUGUCUGGUGGUGCAAUGACUCUUGAGGGCAAUUCUGCUAACGCAGGGACUCCUAUCUCGCCGAGAGGUGCUGGAUUUCAUAUAUUUUUGGCUCUGCUUUUUUUUUUUUCGGCUAGACCUUGAUGUUAUUGUUUGUUUUGUCAACAAGUUUAGUUGUGUGUUGAUUUUA
Helianthus annuus (common sunflower) is the source of this 2541-nucleotide long non-coding RNA. RefSeq lists it as uncharacterized. The transcript is spliced from 3 exons. The record is from RefSeq and is a predicted model, not a curated record. Lineage: Eukaryota; Viridiplantae; Streptophyta; Magnoliopsida; Asterales; Asteraceae.